RNAcentral lists this ribosomal RNA (236 nucleotides) under uncultured bacterium. Its description in RNAcentral is "partial 16S ribosomal RNA". It matches the Rfam family "Bacterial small subunit ribosomal RNA", at positions 334 to 567 of the family's 1533-position model. The record is from RNAcentral.
UUUACCUACGGGGGGCAGCAGUGAGGAAUAUUGGUCAAUGGACGAGAGUCUGAACCAGCCAAGUAGCGUGAAGGAUGACUGCCCUAUGGGUUGUAAACUUCUUUUAUAUGGGAAUAAAGUUUUCCACGUGUGGAAUUUUGUAUGUACCAUAUGAAUAAGGCUUGGCUAACUCCGUGCCAGCAGCCGUGGUAAUACGGAGGAUUCGAGCGUUAUCCGGAUUUAUUGGGUUUAAAGGG